AUGUUGGGAGAGAGAAAAAUUUGGGAUAUUAUUUGGAAGGCCAAUGUUCCUCAGAAAAUCCGUAUUUUUGCAUGGCGUGUCGCUAUCGAUAGUCUGGCUGUCCAGAUAAACCGAGUUCUCCAUCACCAAACCACCCUUCGUACCUGUUCUAUUUGUGGAGUGGAAGAUGAAAGUACCUUUCAUGCGUUAGUCAUGUGCCCUAAGGCAUAUGCAUUGCGCAUGUCCAUGAGGGAUAUUUGGAUCUUGCCUAUGAAGGAGGCUCCCAAGUAUACUGGGGCUGAUUGGUUUUUUGUUCUUUUGGAUCAAUUAAGCCCUACUAUGCGUGACCAAAUUAUUUUCAUUUUCUAGAGAGCCUGGCAUUUGAGAAACAACAUGAUUUUUGGUAAGGGGAAGGAAUCC
Molecule: ribosomal RNA, 399 nt
Filed under: Triticum aestivum (bread wheat)
Lineage: Eukaryota; Viridiplantae; Streptophyta; Magnoliopsida; Poales; Poaceae
Description: partial small subunit ribosomal RNA
Source: RNAcentral